This 583-nucleotide long non-coding RNA is filed under the name Homo sapiens (human). RNAcentral's name for it is "non-protein coding lnc-NAV3-6:1". The record is from RNAcentral. Lineage: Eukaryota; Metazoa; Chordata; Mammalia; Primates; Hominidae.
AAUACUCAGAGAUAAUAUUAAUGAGAGCCUAGAGUUUUUUUCUUUUAAAAUGGGGUUCCAUGGCUUUGGGCAGAAAUGAUUUUUAUAUGUAUCAUGAUUGAAAAAACUCUCAGUACAAGAUGAUGCACUUCUUUAUACAGGAAUGGAAUAAACCAAAAAAAAAGUAUACUUAGAAAACUCUUAAAUGACAAUACAACUAUGAAUCUUAAACAUUUUUGGGAAGCAAAUAGAGAUGACAUAUCAAGAUCAAAUUGUAAAAUCCAUUUCUGGAAGCUGGAAACUCCUGGAUCAAGGCCCUGGCAGAUUCUGUCUGGUGAGAGCCCAUUCCUUAUGGUGGUAACUUCUAUAUGUCUUCCCACCACAGAAGGGGGAAAACGGGAAAACUAGCAAGAGCUAGCAAGAACUAGCAAGAGCUUGAACAAACGCCUGGACUCAGAUUGGAAGACUGCUCAUUUGUCUACUGCCUCAUUCCUGGAAAUUGCACUGGAACUGUCUGAUUAAGAAAAACAGAAUAAUUCUGAAAGAAAGAAAACAAAGAAAAACAUACUCCAGAAUUCCUAAUAGAACACUUCACCUGAACCUA